AACGAACGCUGGCGGCGUGGAUUAGGCAUGCAAGUCGAGCGAGAAAAGGUCCGCAAGGGCCUGAGUAAAGCGGCGCAAGGGUGAGUAAUGCCUGGAUAACCUACCCCUGAGAGGGGGAUAACGUCUGGAAACGGACGCUAAUACCCCAUAAGACCACGGGCCUACGAGUCCGUGCUUAAAGAUAGCCUCUGUUUACAAGCCUUCGCUCAGGGAGGGGUUCAGGUCCUACUAGCUAGUUGGUGGGAUAAAAGCUUACCAAGCCGACGAUCUGUAGCUGGUCUGAGAGGACGACCAGCCACACUGGGACUGAGACACGGCCCAGACUCCUACGGGAGGCAGCAGUGGGGAAUUUUGGACAAUGGGCGAAAGCCUGAUCCAGCCAUGCCGCGUGCAGGAUGAAGGCCUUCGGGUUGUAAACUGCUUUUGUACGGAACGAAAGACUCCUUCUAAUAAAGGGGUCCAUGACGGUACCGUAAGAAUAAGCACCGGCUAACUACGUGCCAGCAGCCGCGGUAAGCAACG
RNAcentral lists this ribosomal RNA (522 nucleotides) under uncultured bacterium. RNAcentral describes it as "bacterial SSU rRNA". It matches the Rfam family "Bacterial small subunit ribosomal RNA", at positions 29 to 527 of the family's 1533-position model. The record is from RNAcentral.